Molecule: ribosomal RNA, 451 nt
Filed under: uncultured bacterium
Lineage: Bacteria
Description: partial 16S ribosomal RNA
Rfam family: Bacterial small subunit ribosomal RNA
Source: RNAcentral
GUGGGGAAUAUUGGACAAUGGGCGAAAGCCUGAUCCAGCCAUGCCGCGUGUGUGAAGAAGGUCUUCGGAUUGUAAAGCACUUUAAGUGGGGAGGAGGCUCUCUUGGUUAAUACCUAAGAAGAGUGGACGUUACCCACAGAAUAAGCACCGGCUAACUCUGUGCCAGCAGCCGCGGUAAUACAGAGGGUGCGAGCGUUAAUCGGAUUUACUGGGCGUAAAGCGCGCGUAGGUGGUUAAUUAAGUCAAAUGUGAAAUCCCCGAGCUUAACUUGGGAAUUGCAUUCGAUACUGGUUAGCUAGAGUAUGGGAGAGGAUGGUAGAAUUCCAGGUGUAGCGGUGAAAUGCGUAGAGAUCUGGAGGAAUACCGAUGGCGAAGGCAGCCAUCUGGCCUAAUACUGACACUGAGGUGCGAAAGCAUGGGGAGCAAACAGGAUUAGAUACCCGGGUAGUCC